AUACAGAGCCAACAAGAUGAAAUUGAGGCAAAAUUUUUUGAAGAGCGAGAUGCGCAUGAAGCGAAGUACCAGAAGCUUUAUGAACCUUUGUAUACAAAGUUGUGGAAGUUUACUCCAUCCAGCCAGUGAAAAUGCUGCUGAGGGGAAAUAUACAGAUGCUUGCUUCUUCAGAAUGCAGUGAGUCAUGUGUACCACUUCCACCAAGUCUAUUAGCCAUUGAACAUUUUUGAGAACUUUGGCUGCACCAGGGUAAUAUCGAAGACAGAAGAACAUGAUACAGGAUUGACUGUUGCACUCUAUUUGUAAGAUUUAUUUUAACCAUUGCCCAGUUAAGCCUCUGUUUUGAAAAAGAGCAUGUGUGUCUGUUCAGACUAUCGUGUAAGGCGAUUUGGCAUCCUUUUUUGUUUUUGGGGGGCACGAGUUAAGCUCUAUUUGCAAUUGGCAUCUAUUGUGCGGUCAAGUGAACUUAGUACUCAAUACCAAUGAUGGUCUCGACAACAAUCAUACAUGCAGAUUCACCAUUUUGCUUGCAACUUUGGAGCUCUGCAUGGUCUCCACGGCAACGCUUGGAGGUUUCUUUUGUUUUCCUGUAGAAAAUUAACUUGAAUUUUGUUUUGUUAACUCUUUAAAUGCCAUCUCGAUGCAGUUAUUGCUAGAGAUGAAGGACCAGUUUUGUG
Molecule: long non-coding RNA, 677 nt
Organism: Oryza brachyantha (malo sina)
Lineage: Eukaryota; Viridiplantae; Streptophyta; Magnoliopsida; Poales; Poaceae
Exons: 4
Source: RefSeq, a predicted model, not a curated record